CCGUCAUUUUAAAAAUUUCAACAAUCCAAUUCCUGUGGUUUUCAAUUUAAUUCAAUCAAGUCCCUAACACCAAGCUGUGUUAGUUGACCAUUAGUAGACUUAACGGCGUGAAGGGUAGGUUAGUCAUUUCACCAAAAACUGACCAUUUUAUAGACUUUAUAAUCCUUAAUCUUCCGUCACACGCAUCAUUUCACUCCCCCUUAGUCCCAAACCCUGCCCGGCUUCUACAGUAGCUAGUGCAACCAUCUUCUUUGGCCAAUCGCACCAGUUUUGUGACAACUCGUUAUUCCGAGCGGACUAAACGAAACUCUAUCAUAAAGUCCCCAUACGGUAAUACCGAGUAAUCGUUGGGCCAGGCGAGCGGGAUACUAGUUGAUAACGCUAUUAGGUUUGACAAACCUCACAUCGGGACUUGGAGGACGGGCGUGAACUUUUAUGCCUUGGCACUGAUCGUUGAUGAUAGACAUUGAUCCGGGGCUAAACAACUCUAUUGUCACAGCAUCGGUACCACACAGUUUAGUAACUUCACGAUGGGGCAGUUCCCAUGACAUGUUUUAUAACUGGUACUUAGGUGCUGCGCUGGAGUUUGCAUGGAGGAGUGUAGUGGCUAUCUAGAACCGUUGUUGGGUUCUUAUUUUAAAGUAUUCAAUAUGAUUGGUGGCAUGAUUCUGGUCAGUCGCACGCCUUGCGGUAAUACUCCUCAAGUGGAAAUUGAGGGUGUCGCAAGUUUCAGCUUCGAUCAUCCUAACCAUCAGGCAAUACGCGAUCUUGUUGAUUAAUUUCCACAUUGUUGGUAUGACAUUGUGUUAAUUUUAGUUAGAAUCUUUUAUUUUGUUAUGCAUGCCAUGCAUAUAAUCUGUAAUGUAGUUUGUUUUCAUGGAAUUCUAGUUCGAAUUAGGGUGCCGGUGACCCGUCUCCUUGUCUGGAUCCAAAUCGGGUCUUGUUGAGUACGAGGAGGGGGUUCAGGAUCGACCUCUAUUUCAGUCGGCGAGCAUGAAGACAGGGGGCUUGCUUGGUU
This is a long non-coding RNA of Helianthus annuus (common sunflower), 1018 nucleotides long. RefSeq lists it as uncharacterized. The record is from RefSeq and is a predicted model, not a curated record. The transcript has 3 exons. NCBI's taxonomy places the organism in Eukaryota, Viridiplantae, Streptophyta, Magnoliopsida, Asterales, Asteraceae.